Molecule: non-coding RNA, 21 nt
Filed under: Caenorhabditis elegans
Lineage: Eukaryota; Metazoa; Nematoda; Chromadorea; Rhabditida; Rhabditidae
Source: RNAcentral
UGAUAUCAUUAUUUGGUAAAA